This is an RNA transcript of Erigeron canadensis, 2194 nucleotides long. It is a transcript of the gene named eukaryotic translation initiation factor 3 subunit M-like, with no coding region annotated. The transcript is spliced from 6 exons. Lineage: Eukaryota; Viridiplantae; Streptophyta; Magnoliopsida; Asterales; Asteraceae. The record is from RefSeq and is a predicted model, not a curated record.
CAAAAAACCAAAAUAACGACCCCAGCCUUCUCAAUACUAGACAACUAUAACUCGACUACUCCAAGAAUUAAACUGAAGUGAUCGGUAAUACGUAAUGACCAGGUGUUGUCCACCUCGCUUUGCGAAGCCUUUGUUUUUGCAAUUUCGUUCACACGCAAUUGAAAGACAGACGCCGCAAAAAAUAUCAAGAAAAAAUAGUCUGCCCCGAAAUAUAUAGGAUCCAUGGUCACGUGAAGUAUAUAGCGAAAAUAUGUUUGUUUGCUGCUAUUUGUUAGCUGAAAAUCGCUGCUAGUGUACAUUGCACACAACCUGUUCGCUUUAAUGCCUGAAUGGGAGUAAGGAUUUCAUUGAUUGAGUUUAUCCUUAGUAUAUAUUGCUUUAAUUCUUGAUUGAUAAUUGUUUGGGUAAAAACGAGUCCAGAGGAACAUAUAAAAACUUGAAGCAUGUUUUCAAGUUUGCGGGUUACUCUUCGUAUUGUGAUACGGUUUUAGGAUGGAACCCCAAUGUUACCUGUUUUGACAGCUUCAUAUCUAAUUCACAUUAUCGAUUGCAACCAUUUGGUGGUUCAACACUUUGGCCCGACCCGGCAACCCGUCUAUUAGUUAACUGAGUGAUGCUACUGUUAUAAACAUUUAUGCAUUUUAUGAGGAGAAUAUUACUGUUGAUUAUAGUGUUUAAAUUCAAAUUUUCUCAAUACUACACAUCUCUUGGCAAUGAGGCUGAACAUCGAGAUAUCUCAAUCUGUCCUCCUUUUGAUCAAUUUAUUAAGAGGUGCCAAGAGUUAGACAAGAUGACGGUAUAGGUAGCUGAAGCACAAGUGAGUAGUUUGUGUGUGGAGGCACAUGAAUGUAUGGUUGGUGGUAGAUGGUUUGAUUUGGCUUCAUUGAUGCUUACUUCUGCUGAUUUGGUCUUUCCUAAAGCGUCUGAAAAAGAUCUCGAGUGCAUUUUCACUAUCAUCUGCAGUCUUGUUAAGAAGCCUGAAAGCCUUGACGAGUCACUGGAGAUUGCAAAGAUUGCCCAACAACCAAAUGAAAAACCUGCAUUGCGAUUAAAGAUCUUGUUCAAUCUGUACAACAUGUUAGAGAACCCUUACGGAAGGUUCCUUGUUUAUAUGAAGGCCCUUGAAGUGGCAGACAAUGGGAAGGUCACAGAACAUAUCAUUUCUUCCUUUAAAAAGAUAGACACCUUAUUGAAGGAAUGGAAUAUAGGGCUGCAGGAUCAAAGAGAACUUUUCCUUGCCAUCUCUAAUAUUUUGAAGGAACUCAAGAGCUCAGCUAAAGAGAACUUUAAAUUCCUGACCAAGUAUCUGGCGACGUUCUCUGGUGAGGCUACUCAUGAUAUGGAUGAGGCGAAGGAAAAAGCUACUUACACCAUUAUUGAAUUUGUCAAAGCACCAGACAUGUUUCAGGUCUUGUUCACGAAGAUUGUAUAAGCUAAAAUGAGGUUGAUGUCAAUUGUGGAUCUUGCCUCCGACGAAUCUGGCCAAGUUUCUUAUCUUUCUGUCAAGGACACUCUUCAGACAGCUUGUAGAAGCAGGGGACGCUCGCAAGGUUCUUGAUAAGAAUCGUUUGGGACAAGAAAUGGAGGAAUAUGAGAUGUUGAUGGCUGUAAGAAUUGCAGCAGUUCCAAUGCUCUCCCAACUCCAUAGUUUUUAAUACACAGUUGCCUGCGGUGCAAUUACCAUUACUCCGUACAAUUGUUUUAGUGGUUCUCGGGCUACUUAUUUUGGAUACGAAAAGGGUGGACUGGAAACACGUAGUGAGUAAGCCAGCUCAUCUUGAAGAUCUAGACAUCGAUAUGGGUUUUGAUUCAACCGGGGGACUCAAUGGUUGAGUUGUAAAAGCAAAACAAGCAAGUGUGGGUUAUCUGUUUUUUGAUAUUGAUCCGUCAAACUUUUGCUUCUUAAAGCUAGUCGUACGUAUUUCGUUCAGAAUUGUUGUAUACUUUGGAGCCUUGGAGCUUAUGGAACUUCAUUUUCAUUUUGAUAGCUCGUUGGUUUAAGGAAAAUGGAAGGUGAUAUGUGUAGUUUGAUGAGGUUGAUAUCUUGGAUGUAUUUUGUUCGUAAAAGUUCAAGUUCGAAAAUGUAUUCGUGUAGUGCAUUUUGUUUUGUAUACAUUUAGCCAUAUGAGAGAUCAUUAUCAUGUGUGUCAAUAUUUGGUAUUGCAAUAAGUAUUACUGUAUUAAUAUUGUACUU